GGCUUCGAGACGGGCCAGAAUGGUCAACUCUUUGGACACUCGUAAACAGGUGGUGCAUGGUUGUCGUCAGCUCGUGUCGUGAGAUGUUGGGUUAAGUCCCGCAACGAGCGCAACCCUCGUUCUAUGUUGCCAGCACGUAAUGGUGGGAACUCAUGGGAUACUGCCGGGGUCAACUCGGAGGAAGGUGGGGAUGACGUCAAAUCAUCAUGCCCCUUAUGUCUUGGGCUUCACGCAUGCUACAAUGGCCGGUACAAAGGGCUGCAAUACCGUAAGGUGGAGCGAAUCCCAAAAAGCCGGUCCCAGUUCGGAUUGAGGUCUGCAACUCGACCUCAUGAAGUCGGAGUCGCUAGUAAUCGCAGAUCAGCAACGCUGCGGUGAAUACGUUCCCGGGUCUUGUACACACCGCCCGUCAAGUCAUGAAAGUCGGUAACACCUGAAGCCGGUGGCCCAACCCUUGUGGAGGGAGCCGUCGAAGGUGGGAUCGGUAAUUAGGACUAAGUCGUAACAGGGUAAGCCGUA
This 519-nucleotide ribosomal RNA is filed under the name bacterium PH-EB027. RNAcentral describes it as "bacterial SSU rRNA". It matches the Rfam family "Bacterial small subunit ribosomal RNA", at positions 985 to 1504 of the family's 1533-position model. The record is from RNAcentral.